AGGUGGCGUUCCAACGGGUCAACCCUCUGUCUAAAAAUUACCUGAGAAAGCGAAGAGAAUACCACAGAGCCAUUGUCGAGGCGGAACUGGCGGAGGUGGAGGCGAUGCGAAAGUCCUACCACGCCGCGAAGGCCGCUAAGGAGGCGAAGGAAGCUGACGCCCUCCCCGCCACGCCCGUGAACUCCCCGCCCUCCACCGAAGACGAAGGGGAGGGGGAUACCGACCCUUCCUCCUCCCCCAAGGCCGCGGAGGGACAGGGCGGGGGCAGCGGGGGGCGGGGCGGGGCGGGGCUGCACUUCGGGGCCCUCAGUCAGUAGUCUUCGAGAGGAAAGAUGAGGUGAGCCACAAGAUUGAUGAGGCGUCCGUGGAGGCCAGCGAUAAGGGCAGGGAGUGAGUUAUGAAACGCCUCGCUCACACCUCCCUCCCCGUGGUGUUAUGAGCCCCCCCCCCGUGGUGUUUGUCCCCCUCUCCUCCCCUUCCCCUCCGUUUCUGUUACUUAGC
Eriocheir sinensis (Chinese mitten crab) is the source of this 501-nucleotide long non-coding RNA. RefSeq lists it as uncharacterized. The transcript has 2 exons. The record is from RefSeq and is a predicted model, not a curated record. NCBI's taxonomy places the organism in Eukaryota, Metazoa, Arthropoda, Malacostraca, Decapoda, Varunidae.